Molecule: ribosomal RNA, 311 nt
Filed under: uncultured Marinomonas sp.
Lineage: Bacteria; Pseudomonadati; Pseudomonadota; Gammaproteobacteria; Oceanospirillales; Oceanospirillaceae
Description: bacterial SSU rRNA
Rfam family: Bacterial small subunit ribosomal RNA
Source: RNAcentral
AUUGAACGCUGGCGGCAGGCUUAACACAUGCAAGUCGAGCGGUAACAGGAAUUAGCUUGCUAAUUUGCUGACGAGCGGCGGACGGGUGAGUAACGCGUAGGAAUCUGUCUAGUAGGUGGGGGACAACAUGUGGAAACGCAUGCUAAUACCGCAUACGCCCUACGGGGGAAAGGAGGGGAUCUUCGGACCUUUCGCUAUUAGAUGAGCCUGCGUAAGAUUAGCUAGUUGGUGGGGUAAUGGCUCACCAAGGCGACGAUCCCUAGCUGGUUUGAGAGGAUGAUCAGCCACACUGGAACUGAGACACGGUCCAG